AUCCGCAUUUGCUACCAGCGGCGGCCGCGGCGGAGCCAGGCCGGUCCUCAGCGCCCAGCACCGCCGCUCCCGGCAACCCGGAGCGCGCACCGCAGGCCGGCGGCCGAGCUCGCGCAUCCCAGCCAUCACUCUUCCACCUGCUCCUUAGAGAAGGGAAGAUGAGCGAGUCGAGCUCGAAGUCCAGCCAGCCUUUGGCCUCCAAGCAGGAAAAGGACGGCACUGAGAAGCGGGGCCGGGGCAGGCCGCGCAAGCAGCCUCCGAAGGAGCCCAGCGAAGUGCCAACACCUAAGAGACCUCGGGGCCGACCAAAGGGAAGCAAAAACAAGGGUGCUGCCAAGACCCGGAAAACCACCACAACUCCAGGAAGGAAACCAAGGGGCAGACCCAAAAAACUGGAGAAGGAGGAAGAGGAGGGCAUCUCGCAGGAGUCCUCGGAGGAGGAGCAGUGACCCGUGCGUGCCGCCUGCUCCUCACUGGAGGAGCAGCUUCCUUCUGGGACUGGACAGCUUUGCUCCGCUCCCACCGCCCCUGCCCCUUCCCCAGGCCCACCAUCACCACCGCCUCUGGCCGCCACCCCCAUCUUCCACCUGUGCCCUCACCACCACACUACACAGCACACCAGCCGCUGCAGGGCUCCCAUGGGCUGAGUGGGGAGCAGUUUUCCCCUGGCCUCAGUUCCCAGCUCCCCCCGCCCACCCACGCAUACAUACAUGCCC
RNAcentral lists this small RNA (716 nucleotides) under Pongo abelii (Sumatran orangutan). RNAcentral's name for it is "processed transcript". The record is from RNAcentral. Lineage: Eukaryota; Metazoa; Chordata; Mammalia; Primates; Hominidae.